RNAcentral lists this ribosomal RNA (428 nucleotides) under uncultured bacterium. RNAcentral describes it as "partial 16S ribosomal RNA". It matches the Rfam family "Bacterial small subunit ribosomal RNA", at positions 354 to 796 of the family's 1533-position model. The record is from RNAcentral.
GUGGGGAAUAUUGGGCAAUGGGCGCAAGCCUGACCCAGCAACGCGGCGUGAAGGAAGAAGGCUUUCGGGUUGUAAACUUCUUUUACCAGGGACGAAACAAAUGACGGUACCUGGUGAAUAAGCCACGGCUAACUACGUGCCAGCAGCCGCGGUAAUACGUAGGUGGCGAGCGUUAUCCGGAUUUAUUGGGUGUAAAGGGCGUGUAGGCGGGACAGCAAGUCAGAUGUGAAAACCAGAGGCUCAACCUCUGGCCUGCAUUUGAAACUGUUGUUCUUGAGUGUCGGAGAGGUAAUCGGAAUUCCGUGUGUAGCGGUGAAAUGCGUAGAUAUACGGAGGAACACCAGUGGCGAAGGCGGAUUACUGGACGAUAACUGACGCUGAGGCGCGAAAGCGUGGGGAGCAAACAGGAUUAGAAACCCCUGUAGUCC